RNAcentral lists this ribosomal RNA (1757 nucleotides) under human gut metagenome. Its description in RNAcentral is "bacterial LSU rRNA". It matches the Rfam family "Bacterial large subunit ribosomal RNA", at positions 843 to 2498 of the family's 2925-position model. The record is from RNAcentral.
UGAUAGCUGGUUCUCUCCGAAAUGCAUUUAGGUGCAGCGUCGGGGAUUACGUCCGGGGGGUAGAGCUACUGGAUGCUUGAGGGCCCGUAUCGGGUACCGACAGCAGCCAAACUCCGAAUACCCGUGACGCGUAUCCCGGCAGUGAGUCGGCGGGGGAUAAGCUCCGUCGUCGAAAGGGAGACAGCCCAGAUCGUCGUCUAAGGUCCCCAAGCGCGUGCUAAGUGGGAAAGGAUGUGGAGUCGCAUAGACAGCCAGGAGGUUGGCUCAGAAGCAGCCAUCCUUGAAAGAGUGCGUAACAGCUCACUGGUCUAGUGGUUCCGCGCCGACAAUGUAGCGGGGCUCAAGCACGCCACCGAAGACGCGGCAGCGUCCGUUUGGAUGCUGGGUAGGAGAGCGUCCCCAUCGGGGCGAAGCGGCGGCGCAAGCCUGCCGUGGACCGUUGGGGAGUGAGAAUGCAGACAUGAGUAGCGAGAGGCGGGUGCGAAUCCCGCCCGCUGGAUGACCAAGGGUUCCGGGGCCACGUUCGUCGUCCCCGGGUGAGUCGGGUCCUAAGGCGAGGCCGACAGGCGUAGUCGAAUGGAUGAACGGGCUGAUAUUCCCGUACCGGCAGCGAACCGAAACAACCGAGGCCUGGGGCGCUAACCUCCGGUCGCGUGCCGUCUCCCUUCGGGGGGUCGCGGCGCGGGCGCGUUGGGAUCCCCCCUCGUAGUAGGUCAGCGCAGGAGUGACGCAUCAGGGCAGCCGGCCGCGGAGGUGGUUUUCCGUGGUCAAGCGUUCGAGCCCGUCCCGCAGGCAAAUCCGCGGGGCGUCGGGGCGAGGCGUGAUGAUGGGGGCCUUACGGCCCGAUAUCCGGUGAUCCGUGGUGCCGAGAAAAGCUUCGGCGUCAGGCGCGUUGCCGCCCGUACCCCAAACCGACACUGGUGGUCAGGUAGAGAAUACCAAAGCGAUCGAGCGAAUCCUGGUCAAGGAACUCGGCAAAUUGCUCCCGUGCCUUCGGCAUAAGGGAGACCCCCUGCGGUGAUGAGCGGCGGGGGGUGGCACAGGCCAGGGGGUAGCGACUGUUUACCAAAAACACAGGAGCGUGCGAAGGCGCAAGCCGCUGUAUACGCUCUGACGCCUGCCCGGUGCCGGAAGGUUAAGAGGAUCCGUCAGCUUCUGCGAAGCGGUGAAUUCAAGCCCCGGUAAACGGCGGUGGUAACUAUAACCAUCCUAAGGUAGCGAAAUUCCUUGUCGGGUAAGUUCCGACCUGCACGAAUGGCGUAACGACUUCCCCACUGUCUCGACCAGGAGCUCGGCGAAAUUGCAGUACGAGUAAAGAUGCUCGUUAAGCGCAGAAGGACGAAAAGACCCCGGGACCUUUACUAUACCUUGGUAUUGGCAUUAGGCGCGGAUUGUGUAGCAUAGGCGGGAGGCUUCGAGGCGGGUGCGCCAGCAUCCGCGGAGCCGCAAGGUGAAAUACCGCUCUGUUCUCGUUUGAUGUCUAACCUCGAACAGUCAUCCUGUUCAGGGACAGUGCCUGGCGGGUAGUUUAACUGGGGCGGUUGCCUCCCAAAGAGUAACGGAGGCGCUCAAAGGUCCGCUCAGCCCGGUUGGCAAUCGGGUUUCGAGUGUAAUCGCACAAGCGGGCUUGACUGCGAGAGCGACGGUUCGAGCAGGGACGAAAGUCGGAGAUAGUGAUCCGGUGCCGGCGCACGGGCGCGGCAUCGCUCAACGGAUAAAAGGUACCCCGGGGAUAACAGGCUGAUCAUUCCCAAGAG